This 376-nucleotide ribosomal RNA is filed under the name uncultured bacterium. RNAcentral's name for it is "bacterial SSU rRNA". It matches the Rfam family "Bacterial small subunit ribosomal RNA", at positions 521 to 896 of the family's 1533-position model. The record is from RNAcentral.
UAAGACGAACCGUGCGAACGUUGUUCGGAAUCACUGGGCUUAAAGGGCGCGUAGGCGGGCGUGCAAGUCAGGGGUGAAAUCCUCCGGCUCAACCGGAGAACAGCUUUUGAUACUGCACGCCUCGAGGGGGGUAGGGGCAUGUGGAACUUCCGGUGGAGCGGUGAAAUGCGUAGAUAUCGGAAGGAACGCCGGUGGCGAAAGCGACGUGCUGGACCCCUUCUGACGCUGAGGCGCGAAAGCCAGGGGAGCAAACGGGAUUAGAUACCCCGGUAGUCCUGGCCCUAAACGAUGGGUACUAGGUUGUGGACUGGACAUGGGUUCACAGCCGAAGCAAAAGUGCUAAGUACCCCGCCUGGGGAGUAUGGUCGCAAGGCUG